RNAcentral lists this ribosomal RNA (643 nucleotides) under uncultured bacterium. RNAcentral describes it as "bacterial SSU rRNA". It matches the Rfam family "Bacterial small subunit ribosomal RNA", at positions 833 to 1476 of the family's 1533-position model. The record is from RNAcentral.
GACACUCUCAGUAACGAAGCUAACGCGUGAAGUCGACCGCCUGGGGAGUACGGCCGCAAGGUUAAAACUCAAAGGAAUUGACGGGGACCCGCACAAGCGGUGGAUUAUGUGGAUUAAUUCGAUGCAACGCGAAAAACCUUACCUACCCUUGACAUGUCCUGGAGGCGGAAGAGAUUCCGCUGUGCCCGAAAGGGAACGGGAACACAGGUGCUGCAUGGCUGUCGUCAGCUCGUGUCGUGAGAUGUUGGGUUAAGUCCCGCAACGAGCGCAACCCUUGUCAUUAGUUGCUACAUUCAGUUGGGCACUCUAAUGAGACUGCCGGUGACAAACCGGAGGAAGGUGGGGAUGACGUCAAGUCCUCAUGGCCCUUAUGGGUAGGGCUUCACACGUAAUACAAUGGCGCGUACAGAGGGUUGCCAAGGGGUGACCUGGAGCCAAUCCCACAAAGCGCGUCGUAGUCCGGAUUGCAGUCUGCAACUCGACUGCAUGAAGUCGGAAUCGCUAGUAAUCGCGGAUCAGCAUGUCGCGGUGAAUACGUUCCCGGGUCUUGUACACACCGCCCGUCACACCAUGGGAGUGGGUUCCACCAGAAGCCGGUCGCCUAACCGCAAGGGGGGCGCCGACCACGGUGAGAUUCAUGACU